UCUGCUGCACUUUCCGGGAGGGAGGAGGCUGCAGGCUGCCUCUGAGGGGGCUGAGGGAGGGAGGGGCCGACGUGCCAGGAGGGGCCCAGUUAGAGUCACCGCUGGGCUGGCAGAGGCCGUACCCUCCCUCCAGCCAGGGAGGACAGGAGACAGGAGGAGGUGAGGCCAGAGGGCAGAGAGGGCGGGAGUGUGGUGAGUCAGGGGCAGGCCUCCUCCCUGCUCUGAAGCCCCCAGGACCUUCUCUCCUGGACCCCACCUCCUUCCUGGAGUCCUGGUCUCAGGGAGGCUGUGGUUUGCGUUACAGCUGCUCCCUUUUGUCAGGCACCCCUUCCCCAGCAGAUUGGCACUGCCCUGGGCUGCACAGGAGGCUGGGAGGGCAGCAAACGGGGCAUCCGGGCUACACAGUUAUUGCCCCAAGCAAAGCCAGGUUCUGAGCAAAGAGGGAAGAGAGACACAGCCAGGCCCUUCUCCCCACGGCCCCUGCUGCCACGCGUGGGCCUCAGAGCCUUCGAGCUCACGGAGCAAACCCGCCACUGAAGACCCCUGCCCCCGCCACAGUGUUGGUGGCAGCCUGGACAGCGGCUGGGGGACUGAGGCUGGUGCCCGAGCCCCAGGAUCCUGAGAGUGGGGUUCUCCAGCAGCCGGUUCUCGGGCUGUGAACCGCAUGGCUUCAGCCCCACCUCACCCACAUCCGACGUGAGCCGCCCCUGAUCCUUCACCUGUGAGCGGACACAGACGUGUACACAGGCAGUGGGAGAGUCCCGGGGAGAAGAUGGCCGUCCAUAAACCAGGGCCAGAGGCUUGGAGCAGGUGUUCCCUUCCGGCCUCCAAGGGAGCCAAGCCUACUGCCACCUGGGUUUUGGACUUCUGGCUUCCAGAACUGCGAGGUGAUAAGCUUCUCUUGUCGAAGGCCCCCAGUCUGUGGUAGUUUAUUAUGGUUCCCGUAGCAAACAAAUGCCCUCAGGUUGGCUGCAUCCUGGGACUGAAGGUCAGCGCUGCUCCGAAGAUGUAAAUGACUUUCUCCUUCUGAGGCUCCGGGGUCCACUCCCGCCAUUGCCAGGAUUCUAGAACUGGUGUGGCCCCUCCACCUGAACCAAGCCCAGGCUCCCAAGUUUCUGACUGUGAUUGUCCACGUUUUGACCACAGCUUUGUAUAUAAAAACCCUUCUUGAACUGUUCCACCAUGUCUACCCACCUAUUGGUACCCUGACUGAUACGUGCUGUAUUGGUUUUUAAAAACUUUUUAAAAUUUAUGUUUUAUUUAGGAUUUUGCAUAUAUGUUUAUGAGAUUGGCCUGUAAUUUUCCUUUCCUAUAUUCUCUGAAUGACUGUUAUCAAGGCUAUCCCAGCCUCAUAAAAUAAGUUCUUCUUUCAUCAAAAUUCACUGGAAAAUUCUGUAUAUAGUUGGAAGGAUCUAUCCUUUGAAAGCUAAAUGGAAUUCACCCAUAAAA
This is a long non-coding RNA of Cercocebus atys (sooty mangabey), 1449 nucleotides long. RefSeq lists it as uncharacterized. The record is from RefSeq and is a predicted model, not a curated record. NCBI's taxonomy places the organism in Eukaryota, Metazoa, Chordata, Mammalia, Primates, Cercopithecidae. The transcript is spliced from 2 exons.